CCUACGGGUGGCAGCAGUGAGGAAUAUUGGUCAAUGGACGAGAGUCUGAACCAGCGAAGUAGCGUGAAGGAUGACUGCCCUAUGGGUGGUAAGCUUCUUUUAUAUGGGAAUAAAAUGUUCCACGUGUGGGAUUUUGUAUGUACAAUAUGAAUAAGGAUCGGCUAACUCUGUGCCAGCAGCCGGCGUAAUACGGAGGAACCGAGCGUUAUCCGGAUUUAUUGGGUUUAAAGGGAGCGUAGGUGGAGUGUUAAGUCAGUUGUGAAAGUUUGCGGCUCAACCGUAAAAUUGCAGUUGAAACUGGCAGUCUGGAGUACAGUAGAGGUGGGCGGAAUUCGUGGUGUAGCGGUGAAAUGCUUAGAUAUCACGAAGAACUCCAAUUGCGAAGGCAGCUCACUGGACUGCAACUGACACUGAGGCUCGAAAGUGUGGGUAUCAAACAGGAUUAGAUACCCCUGUAGUC
Molecule: ribosomal RNA, 460 nt
Filed under: uncultured bacterium
Lineage: Bacteria
Description: partial 16S ribosomal RNA
Rfam family: Bacterial small subunit ribosomal RNA
Source: RNAcentral